This is a long non-coding RNA of Scophthalmus maximus (turbot), 7451 nucleotides long. RefSeq lists it as uncharacterized. Lineage: Eukaryota; Metazoa; Chordata; Actinopteri; Pleuronectiformes; Scophthalmidae. The record is from RefSeq and is a predicted model, not a curated record. The transcript has 5 exons.
AGAGAGGAUGUUAGUUGUGCCUGGAACAGUCUCCUGUUCACUAUCUCUUUCCUAGGAAGGUUGAGAGCUUUGCAGUCCCACUUGUAGAGGAGCCAGAUGUUAACCAUGGCGAGGAUGACGGUGAGCCAGAAGAUGUAAAUGUACCAGCGCCACAAUUUCAUGAGGAACUUGUGGCUGCAAAUUAGUCCAAAAAAGUCAACAUCUCCAUCACCUUGUAUUUAUUGUAGGCACCCACAAUGUAAGGCCUCUCAACAUUAAUGUAGGUUUUGGUGGCUUCACUGAAUCAACAUCACCUGACAAUCCAAGUUCAGAUUUGGCUUGUACUCCGUUGACACUUCAAAGUCACAGAGCAUGUCAGAGAUUUUAGUUUUAACCACAAUUAGAAACCCCAUGGGUUUGGCUGGCCUUGCAUGUAUUGCUUAGUUUAGAUGAAUUUCCCAUUGCAUGUUUUGUGAGUUCAUGGCCAUGUGGCCAGGCCUGUAUGCACAUUUACCACCCAAUAACAUUGUGAGGCUAAACAAAAUGAAUCAUUGAGUAUGUUGAUGAGGUCUUUAGGCAAAAAACCCUUACAGGGUGAAGCUUAAUUUGAUAUGAUCCCUUUUUGAGUCGAAAUGGAAAAGCAUAUCCGACUUCAAUUGUUGUUUGGUCUCCCAGAUGGUUUGGUUGAAAUUAAAUCCAGGAACACUGUUUUAAAGUACAGUGGUAAGAGUGGACCUAAUCAAAAGAAAUAUGUCUUAUAAACCAUACAAACUUAUUUAGUCAUGCAGACUGAGACCAGGUGCUCACACUGUCUUCGAAAGUGUCUGUGAAAGGUGCUAUAUUAAUAAAUAUGAAUAAUGUACUAACUUACUUAUUAUGCAGUCACACACACAAACAGAUAAAUACAAGUACACAAGAAGACAAGGAUUUCAUAACUGUGAGAGGGUGUACACACAGACUUAAACUGAUAAUUUAGCAGGAGGUAGUUUGGAUGAUGGGCUGCAUGUAUUUUGGCCUUGCACACCACCUCUUCUCUGGUAUACAAUUAUCAACAGAGAAAAGUGAAAUGGACGUUUUAUAGUAGCCUGAAGCCAGUUAUUUUCACACAGCUUAGCAUGGCUGCUCUUGGCACUGUGCGCAUAAGCUUGGCAGAGACGCUCUCCUGUUCUUUUUCAGUUGUGCGUUUUCCUGUAUUCUGCUCUUUCUUUUCUUUGUGAAAUGUUUUUCCUCUUGUUUUUUGUUGCUCUGAGAAACAUUUAAACCCUGUCUUCCUUUAUAGACUUUGGUCCGUGGGCAGCUGAUAGAAACAGUGGGCCAGCUAAUCAUUUGCGGAAUUUGGCGUGGAUAUAAGAUAGGCCCAGAUUGGGAAUGCACAGAGCCAGAGGAAUGGUAAUUACUGUGGAAAUCAAACACCAUCAAUUGUGAGGAGGUUUUUUCUUUAACAUUUCACAGUGUCCCCUCUCUCGCUUCCCAAAGCCCAUUCUCAUUUUGCACCAACUCAAACGACCCUCACUUCCACUCCCUCAGACCCUCAGCCCUCCCUCCCACCUUCCUUAUUUUUUUCCACUAUUUUCCACCACACUUUGUUCCUCUAUUUCUACUUGCCUCUCUACCCUCCCAUUUAUUUUCCUUUAAUUUUCUCUGCCUCACUCCACUCUCUCACUUUAUCAAUCUUCACUUUGUUUUUCCUGUCUUUCGCUGUACACCCAUUUAUACUUAAUGCCUUGGCCUAAAUCGUUUCAUUUCCCAUAUGUGCUCCGCCCACACUCAAUUACACACCAACACACACGCACACACACACACACACACACACACACACACACACACACACACACACACAGGCACUCACACAAAUGACCGCACAAGACGAAUGACCCUCAUCACUGUACAUCUGGAAUGUAAAAACACAAAGGCGUCCGAAACAUUUGUUACACACUCCAAAUGCUUUUAAAGACUCUGACUUACAUUGCGCUCUGAUAUGUAGAAAGUAAUUACAAAUUAAUACUAAUUCUCUUCAUUCACUUGCCUUGUAAGAUGAUAAAUGAGCUGAAGUAUUUCUUUCUUCCCUUGUCAAAACCACACAAAUGCUUUGCAUGACCUCAGAGGUUGUCAGAGGAUUGUGGGGUGACAGUUGAUUACAGGUCCAUUGUAAAGUCUCUGCUCCCCAGUGGGUAGUUACGCUGUCAGCCUCACAUAUACCCACAGUGGGAUACAUGACACUAGCCAGCCUCAGUGAAAUCAUAGGCACUUUUUGACAGUCAACUGCAUGUGUUCUUGAGCUUGCCUCCCACUGUGUUAGGCACGAGGGUGUAGAUACCAAAGUGCUGUUACAUAACACACACACUGUCAUCUUUUCAUUGUUUUUGUUUUUGACAAAAGGCAUAUAUGAAUUGGACAAAUAGGGCUUCUGUCAGGCGUAACUUUCAGGGAUAAAGAGCAGAGGGUUCCUUCAAGGGGGGGAGGCAGAGGUCAGGGCCAAGACUUAAUCCAUCUUCUCCCCCCGGUCCAGCUGAGUAAUGCUGUGGAUCACAGAUCUCUCCGGACAGUCUUUAAGUUUAGAUCUUUUCUGAUUUUAUUUAUUUACAGUAUUUAUAUGAUAUUCAUUUUUGUUACUGACUGGACUGAUAUUCAUUGAUGUAAAGAUCUCGAGGGAGUAUUUAAUGAGCACUCAGUGACCUCUGAAACUUAUCUCACAUGAGUCCCCUGUGCAAAGCCAGCCACCCAUUUGUGAGAAGACAAAUAGACGUAGGAAUCGAUGCAUUAAGGAAGCAAGAAAACUUGAACAGACGCAGAGACACGCACGCACGUCUGCACAACCGCUGGGCGGUUCAGGCAGUAACAGCGCUCCUUGGCAAGUGUCACUAAAGCACAGUUUAUCAGAGCAUAACAUUCACGCUUGCGUGCUUGAAACAAGCACUACCUGCUUCCUGCCCUCAGUAUAAUGAGACAAUCUGAGGAAAUCAAUUUUGCUGCAAUGGUGCAAAGCAUAGCAGAGUCCCAAACAUGCACAUGCACGAGCAGCAUGGGUGAAAUAGCAUGAAUUUAAGUAAUUUGGGUGUCCCACUGUUCUAACUUGGCACAAGGAGGAAGCAAUAUACCAUCCGUUUGCAUAGUAAUCUUUUUGCAGGUAAAUUUCUACAUUUUCAAGUACACUGACGCAAUGAACCUCCCAUAUUCACUCUCAGUCAGAGAACUUCAAUCACAUCAUCUGAUAAGGUAAAAGUAAAAAGAUCUUUCACCACACUAAUUGACCAUGUUUCAUCACUUCGAGGAGCAAGCAAGUGUAUCAAAAAUAAAUCAUGUAUUUGCAUACAAUACUUUCUGGGGGGGGGGGGUGGUGUGCUGAGAUCUAAACAAGUCAAAAUCAAAAUGCUGAAAACUGCACUGUCGCUUGGGCUAAAAUGCUUCCUGUUUGUGAAAGUGGGACUAUCAUAACAUCCUCUCUGCAUACAGAUGCAAACAGCAGACUAGAGAUUUAGUUAUACAAACAUCUCAGUCAAAAAUGCUUUUGAGGCAAAAGUGAUCUCAUUGAUUGGAACAGGUUGAGCGAAAGAGUCUAACUGCAACUGGAAAAUCUUAUUGGAGGCAGAAAGGAAACGAAUGAAAAUAUGGAAGAAAAUAGAAAAAAAAUGUUUUAAAUGUAAAGAUGUUUUAUGUUAAUUUAUUACCAUAUGAUUAAUAAUCUUGGAAAAUAGUCUUGCUAUUGUGGCUAGCCUCUCCUAAACUAAUUAAUUAAAUGACAUAAUUGUAUUUUUACUGUUACUGUAACUGACAGAAAAAUGCUUAGACUUAAGAUUUGCUAAGAUCUCCGUUGUGGGCUCCAAUUGCUUAGUGAACUUUUUUUUUCCAAUUUCCAAUUUUCUGAUACAGUAGAUAAAAACGCUAAGUUUAAGUCUGAGUUAAAUAUGUUCCAGGGCUUAAACAUGCUCCCAUAUUAAUCUGAUGAUAAGUCAAAUUUUCUGGUUCCCUCCCAGUUGGCAGGUAGCCGAGGCCAAUGACUGAGGAAUGUCCAUGUUCAAAUGAUGUAAUUGAUACACUUCAAGGUGAAGACCAUGAAUGUUGAUUGUAAAAACAUUUGCGAACUAAGGUUUUUAUUGCCAUAGUUGUUAAUAUCUUUCAGGAAAGUCAAAAAAGAGGGAUGCAUUUCAUAAGAACAUUCACUGUCGACCCUUUUAGGAUCAAACUUGGAACUUUUUUCUAAAUGUAACAGCAAUAUAUCUCAAUAACGAUGGCAUUGCUCUGUGGGUGACACGGACGCCAGUGAGCUGCUUUAUUAUUAUCUCAUUCUCAAUACACAUUCACUCAAAACAACCCAGAAGAGAACUACCCAGAAAAGAUGGUGUUUGACCCUAGGUCUCUUGGUAACCAUUCACCAGUGGUCAUCCAUGACCAGAUCAUAGUACAGGCGGACUCAUAAAGGUACAUGGGUAUCCACAUUGAUAUACUGUACAUUUAGUCUCAAAGAUCCCUGUGGAAGAUGUUUGCUCCAGGGUGCAGAAGAGGCUGUACCUCCUGAGAAGGCUCAGUACUGGAGUUCCUUUUUCUGCAUGUCUACAUUUAUUUAUUUCUGUGUCUCUGUGUCAGUGUAUGAAUGGUAAUCAGGUAGGCGAGCUUAACUCAAGCUGAAUUGGUUACAGUGGCAUGAUCAUCGAACCUACUACUUUUGGUCUUGACUUGGCCAGUACGACGGAGCUGCCUUUAGUUCAGUAUUAGCCUCUUAACCAAACAAAAGUAGUUUAUACUAAGUUUUACAGUACUCUGUACCAGUUAACGUUAAUCGUCGGAUCGCGAAGCCCUGUGUCUCUCCAGAUUCUGCGAGCUAGUGGAAAGUGUUGGUGGAGAUAUUGCAACUGCAGAAAUGCAGCGACUGACUAUGUCCAUUCCUGUUUACUCACAGGAGAUUUGGUUUAGUUUAGCGCUGAUAUGGAUUUAGAGGUUGACGCUGCUUUGUUAAACAAUCUCCAAGAUUGUAAUCAACAUUCUGCCAAGUCUGUCUGGUUUGCAUUUACUCCACCAACACAGUAUCACUCCCAGCGCGUCAAAAACCGGACCUUUGGCGUCAGUUACUGCCGCAAAAAGUCUCCCUUAGCGUGUCAGGUAGACGCAGGGGGCUUUCAACUAAUUCCAAUGUAAUUCCAUCCACGGCAAUAUUUGACGCUCAGAGCGAGUCAUGUGUUUCAAUGGGCAGCAGCACUACGAGCUUAUUGGUUGAAUUCACGCAUGUGCACACUUGCACUAUCGACGUACCAGUGCAGCUAGGAAGAGAAGACACAGAAGGUAAGUUUGAGUGAAUUUUCUUUGAAAGUCUCUUAAAGGGUUUAGCAACGUCUGUGUUAACAUUAUCACGGCUCUUGUCAAUUAUAUUCAUUCUUCCCUCUAAAUCACAAGACCGUACACAGCAGUUUUAACGACGGUGUUUAUUCUGUUUACACAGUUACCGUAAUGUCACCAAAACACACACAGCACUAUAUACACUGGCAGCAUGCUACAUACUCGUUGCUUCUAAUCAUUAAUAGUGAAUUAAACAAUAAGAUAGUCGACGAUCAGUUCAAAUAUGGGGUUAUUUUCCUUUAUUAUUAAUUUUUAUUAAAAUUCGAUUUUCUGUCAUCUUUCUAUCAAUUCCAUUUUAACAUAAAAUGUGUUGCGUAUGUGCAAUGUUCCUGCACUGAACAUUUGCACUGUAUAUAGACUAUAUGCAGUGCAAAUGUUCAGUGCAGGACAGUUUGACAGUCUUUAUUGAUUUCUCUCUGUGCCUAUGUGUCUAUGUGUCUCUAUGUCUCUCUCUCCCUCCCUUGAAAAAUGGCAUACAAGUUUGAGCUUGACCCCCAUGACCCCCAGUGCCAAGAUGGAAGACACCUUGCCAUUGGGUUGAUAAAUGAACCAAUCCGCUGACCCAGCUGAAGCCAGGAAUCGUGCAGAAGAUGUCAAACGGGCACUGUCUAGAGGGGAUACACCACAAAAGUCCAUCAAAAGGAGCGGCCAUGGACGUGAAUAGGCCAGUGGCAGACGUGGAGGCAGAUGUAGUGGCCUAUCUACAGAUAAUGGAUCAUGAUCACGGAUAUGCCACAGAAAAAGGUUUCCGGUUUCACGGAGGAUGCUGACGGCUGAUUCUGAAGAGACGCAGGCUGCGCUGCUGGUGCUCCGGGUUUCCCGUGGUUAAUGUCGGUGAUUGCAAAAUUUUUUUCUACUCAAACUGGUACCCCCUGGCUGUGGGGAGGUGGGACACCUAGUGAAAGCCUGCCCUGGGAGACGUCAGAGACCAGCUGAACCUGACAAGGGGAAAGAUCCACCAGGGGCCUGCCCACAGUUUCUGGGGACGACAACCACGAGUUGGAGGAGCCCCUGAGUGAAGAGGAGGUUUUCAGAGCACUACAGAGCAUGCAGGGGGGCAAAGGCCCUGGCAUCGAUGGUCUCCCCCCAGAGUUCUACAAGACUUUCUGGGAGGAACUAAAAACAGACAUUAUGGAUGUGUUCACCGAAAGUUUUAGGGACUGCUGGCUUCCGCAGAGUUGCAGGAGGGCAGUGUUAACUCUCCUCCCUAAGAAAGGUGACCUAAUGGACAUAAAGAACUGGAGGCCAGUCUCUCCGCUGUGUUCGGACUACAAACUGCUGUCCAAGGUCCUGUCCUCCCGGCUGAAAAAGGUGAUGAACCGGGUCAUCCACAGGACCCAGACCUACAGUGUGCCCGGCAGGUCCAUUGUUGACAAUGUGUCUCUCUCUCUCUCACUCUCUCUCUCUCUCUCUGCCCCCAUGUAUUUACAUUACGUCACUAACUCUGUUUUCUCUCUCUCCUUGUGUAUCUCUGACCCCAGAGCUGCAGGAUCCAAACCCGUCAUUAUUAUUUUUACUAUUAUUAUUAUUACUAUUAUUAUUAUUAAUAACAUCAUUGCAUUUAUAAGUGUCAGUUUUUUUUACUGACGAAAGUUCCGGUCACCAUGCCAGCUUAAACCAGUUAAACAAUACCAACUGUCCCCCUCUUCAAAAUUGCACUCCGGUAACCUCACCAAAGGAUGUAGACGUGCUUGGAACCAGGUCCUGCAACUCCUCCCCCACCUCACGCUGGAGUCAGGGAGAUCGCCUCGUGUUAACCCACGUUUAACACACCGCGGACCCCACGACAGAGAUGGCCGACAACGAAAUUUCCCCUUUCCUUUUUCUUCUUCAACUCAACUCGCUGGCCCUUCGCUGCCCAACAAAGUCUGUUCAGCCGCUGUACACUACGCUGCAUGCCAAGACAGCCUACACUCGCCACGACCGACAUCGGUCGCUCCGAUGCAAGGCAACCUUAUCUGGGCAGAGAUAGUUUAGCUGAUGUGUGUUUAUUAUAAGUUUGACCAUCGAGUAAACUUAUUGCUCAGGUGUUUAAUAAACCAUUUCUUUAUUAUGCUGUUAUAAGCCUAGACUGCUGGGGGAACUUAUAUCAUGAGCAUCUUUCUCCCUCUCCCGUUCUCUCCUUCUCCCUCUUUCUCUUC